AGCAGCCGCGGUAAUUCCAGCUCCAAUAGCGUAUAUUAAAGUUGUUGCAGUUAAAAAGCUCGUAGUUGAAUUUCGGGACCAAUCUGCCGGUCGUGCCUCCGGUACGCACUGGUUUUAUUGGUUUCUCCCUUCUGGCGAACCAUGAUGUCAUUAAUUUGGUGUCAUGGGGAAUCAGGACUGUUACUUUGAAAAAAUUAGAGUGUUUAUAGCAGGCUCACGCUUGAAUACAUUAGCAUGGAAUAAUGAAAUAGGACGUUUGACCCUAUUUUGUUGGUUUCUAGGAUCGACGUAAUGAUUAAUAGGGAUAGUUGGGGGCAUUAGUAUUCAAUUGUCAGAGGUGAAAUUCUUGGAUUUAUUGAAGACUAACUACUGCGAAAGCAUUUGCCAAGGAUGUUUUCAUUAAUCAAGAACGAAAGUUAGGGGAUCGAAGACGAUCAGAUACCGUCGUAGUCUUAACCAUAAACUAUGCCGACUAGGGAUCGGAUGAUGUUAAUUUUUUUAAUGACUCAUUCGGCGCCUU
This 520-nucleotide ribosomal RNA is filed under the name uncultured Glomus. RNAcentral's name for it is "SSU rRNA". It matches the Rfam family "Eukaryotic small subunit ribosomal RNA", at positions 569 to 1089 of the family's 1831-position model. The record is from RNAcentral. Lineage: Eukaryota; Fungi; Glomeromycota; Glomeromycetes; Glomerales; Glomeraceae.